GCCGGGCUAGCUCAAUCGGUAGAGCGUGAGACUCUUAGUCUUACGGCAUCUCAAGGUUGCGGGUUCGACCCCCGCGUUCGGCU
RNAcentral lists this transfer RNA (83 nucleotides) under Aspergillus tamarii. It matches the Rfam family "tRNA". From Rfam's summary of the family: Transfer RNA (tRNA) molecules are approximately 80 nucleotides in length. Their secondary structure includes four short double-helical elements and three loops (D, anti-codon, and T loops). Lineage: Eukaryota; Fungi; Ascomycota; Eurotiomycetes; Eurotiales; Aspergillaceae. The record is from Rfam by way of RNAcentral.